GGGGAAUAUUGGACAAUGGGCGGAAGCCUGAUCCAGCAACGCCGCGUGAGGGAUGACGGCCUUCGGGUUGUAAACCUCUUUCAGUACCGACGAAGCGAAAGUGACGGUAGGUACAGAAGAAGGACCGGCCAACUACGUGCCAGCAGCCGCGGUAAUACGUAGGGUCCGAGCGUUGUCCGGAAUUAUUGGGCGUAAAGGGCUCGUAGGCGGUUUGUCGCGUCGGGAGUGAAAACAGCGGGCUUAACUCGUUGCUUGCUUUCGAUACGGGCAGACUAGAGGUAUGCAGGGGAGAAUGGAAUUCCUGGUGUAGCGGUGAAAUGCGCAGAUAUCAGGAGGAACACCGGUGGCGAAGGCGGUUCUCUGGGCAUUACCUGACGCUGAGGAGCGAAAGUGUGGGGAGCGAACA
This 406-nucleotide ribosomal RNA is filed under the name uncultured Nocardioidaceae bacterium. Its description in RNAcentral is "bacterial SSU rRNA". It matches the Rfam family "Bacterial small subunit ribosomal RNA", at positions 356 to 774 of the family's 1533-position model. The record is from RNAcentral. Lineage: Bacteria; Bacillati; Actinomycetota; Actinomycetes; Propionibacteriales; Nocardioidaceae.